ACAACCGCAAAUUUCUCCAGCUGCGACGCGUGCAUAUCUAGACAUAAUUCAAAAUGUUAAACCUGAAGGUAUUGGUGGCCAUGGUGGUGAUUUCCCAGUACAUAGCCAGCGUGCAUCCAUACUGCUACAUAAGGCCAGAUGCUAACUGCAAACCAGGCUUGAGCGAGGUUAUUGACUGUGCUGACUGUAGUUGCAGCGACGAUGGAACGACUCUUUACUGUUGCUUCAAUAUCGGAAGACCAACUCGCAUGACACCAGGAUGCAAGGCUGAAUUCAACGCUGAAACGUGUCAGUUUGAUAUCUCCAACCAAGACUCACCUGGUACCGAGUGCCGUGUCUACGCAAUGACAGGUCGUUAGGAGUCCGUGACGUCGACUUAUAGCAAAAGCUAGUAGUUUAUUACGACAAUCCUGACAGUCUUAAAUAUUAUUAUUGGUUUAUUUAUUCCCACAAACAUUUGAAAAACGGUCAAAAGACUGACAGCAUUCAAAUUUACAAUUACAUGUACAACUAAUAAAGUAAAUUCGAAAAAAAAAUAUGUUACAAUUCUGGACAAAGACGGAAUUGCACAACGUUUAUACGGCUCAGUAUUGCACGUUUGUGUAUGAAGACCAGGCUGAGUGCUGUUCCUUAAGUGUCUUCCACUGACAUCUUUUUCUUCUGGUGGAAGUUACAAAACCUACUAGACGUAAGUAAUUGUUUUCCAAACUUCAAGAAUAAAUCUGAGCUCCUCUGCUCCAAAGUUUGGAUAUUCAAUCUAUAAUUGAUGGCAUAAAGGUAUGUAUCAUAAUCACUAUCAAGAAUUAUUCUGCAACACGUUUUUGAACGCGUGCAAUUAAUCCAAUCUGAUCCUUUGAAAUCGAAGAAUGCUAUAUUGGACAGGCAUAUUCUAAAAUGGGUCUAAUGUAAGAAAGUAAUUGCAACCUUGUGAGAAAUAGUUAUCUUUGUCCUUUUCAAGAUAGACAACAUAAAAAGUCUACGAGAGGCUUUGGAAUCUCAAAUAUACGUAAAUUCCACUUUAAAUUGUUUGGAAUAAUAACUCUCAAUAGUUUCACGUGAGAAACAGUGGUCAAAGUAUUUCCAUUCAUAGACAGUUCUGGUGGUAUAUACCACAUUUCGUUUAUUAGAAGGAACGAAAUAUACAUACUUUUACAUUUAGAAGGUGUAGGAAACAUAUUGUUUUCCAAAUACCACUCUGAAAAGCUAUGUAAAUGCGAUUGUAACUGUGGUUGGUCCCCGUUUUAAUAAUUCCAUCAAUAGUAAGAUCGUCUGCAUAUUUCCAUGUCCCGCAGCCGUCAACCCUAAGAUCAUUGAAUAGAAUCAGAAAUAAAAUCGGACCUAAUUUUGUCCCCUGUGGCACCCCACAUGUCACUUCACAAAGAGAAGACAAGUGGCCGAAUGAUUUAAUAUUUUGAUGGCGUUUUAUGAGAAAGCUGCAGAUAAUGGGAACAAUUCACGGUCUAACUCCAAGAUCAAGAAGUUUGCGAAUAACUAUUGUGUGAUUUACCCAAUCAAACGCCUUAGUGAAAUGUAUAGCACAAAUUUGAGCAUAAUUGGCAAGUUAUCAGUUCCCCCGGCAAUGAAAUUCAAAAGAUCAAGCAAAUAAUGUGAAGUAGUGUAACCUUUCACAUUGCCACGUUGAUUAGAAUCAAAAUUAAAAGCAAUGUCUUGCAAUAUCCUCUUGGAUAUAAAUGUUUCAAAGACACGUGCAAAGAUUGAAGUUAACUCUAUUGGACGCAGUUGAUCAAAAGAGGAAAUUCUCUUUUCUUUUGAACUGGCACGACCGAAGCAGUUAUCCAUACCUCAGGAAAACUGCCAUCAACAAUACAAUUGUUAACCAUAUGCGUUAAUAUAGGUUAAAAUGUUCCAAGAAAUACAUCUCAGCGGAUUUAAACUAAGCCUACGUAGGAAUGUAUCAAAAUUAUAAUCAUUACAAUGGUAUAAAGAAAUUUAAAAAAAAUCUAGACUCCAUAGCGACAGCUUUGGUAGAAUAGUUAUUCCCUCCCCUGUAUCCCCAGUCUGAAAUCAUUCUUGUACUGAUUCCAUAGGUUUCCGUAAGACGUAAAAUAUCCUUCUGAAGGUUCUGUUCCUUAAGCUCGAAUAUGCUUUUCGGCUUCCUGAGCUGAUACACAUUAAAGCACAUUCUUUAUAACGACAAGGAGAUAAAUUGAAAUUAAAAAAAAAUGUGCGUGA
Molecule: long non-coding RNA, 2193 nt
Filed under: Acanthaster planci (crown-of-thorns starfish)
Lineage: Eukaryota; Metazoa; Echinodermata; Asteroidea; Valvatida; Acanthasteridae
Description: uncharacterized LOC110973229
Source: RNAcentral